CUGAAAGCAUAUAAGCGGGAAGCGCGCUCCAAGAUCAGGAAUCGUUUGAGGCCCCUCGAAGACUACGAGGUUGAUAGGCUCUAGGUAGAAGCGCCGCGAGGCGUGGAGCCGAGGAGUACUAAUGGCUCGAGUCUCUCGUAC
This 141-nucleotide ribosomal RNA is filed under the name Methanobacteriota archaeon. Its description in RNAcentral is "Euryarchaeota archaeon partial 23S ribosomal RNA". It matches the Rfam family "Bacterial large subunit ribosomal RNA", at positions 2771 to 2925 of the family's 2925-position model. Lineage: Archaea; Methanobacteriati; Methanobacteriota. The record is from RNAcentral.